AGACAACUCUCAACAACGGAUAUCUUGGCUCCCGCAACGAUGAAGAACGCAGCGAAACGCGACAUUUAGUGUGAAUUGCAGAAUUCCGUGAAUCAUCGAGUCUUUGAACGCAUACUGCGCCCGAGGCUCGUCCUCAGGGCAUGCCUGCCUCAGCGUGC
RNAcentral lists this ribosomal RNA (158 nucleotides) under Polulichloris henanensis. Its description in RNAcentral is "5.8S ribosomal RNA". It matches the Rfam family "5.8S ribosomal RNA". From Rfam's summary of the family: 5.8S ribosomal RNA (5.8S rRNA) is a component of the large subunit of the eukaryotic ribosome. The record is from RNAcentral. Lineage: Eukaryota; Viridiplantae; Chlorophyta; Trebouxiophyceae; Watanabeales; Watanabeaceae.